GGAAGGAUCAUUCCAAAUUCCGAGUGUGAAUGUGGAUCACUCCCUCACGGGGCGGUUCACGUUACCUUCACACCCACACUACACGUGUUCAAUGAUGACCGGGGAUCGUCUUGUGCGAUUCCUGUGCCAUCGAGGUUCUUUCUAUCUCUCGCAAGAGAGGUGGAUCUACCUCACCCACACCUCCUUUGUACGUUUCCAUUGUUGUGUGACCCAACAAAUACAAAUGCCAAGACUUUUAGCAACGGAUACCUUGGCUCCCGCAACGAUGAAGAACGCAGCGAAACGCGAUAACUAGUGCGAAUUGCAGAGUUCAGUGAAUCAUCGAGAUUUUGAACGCAACUGGCGCCUUUGGGUUCUCCCAGGGGCACACCUCUUUCAGUAUCAACCCUAUCCCUACCCCUGACCCUGUCAGUGGGAAGAAGGUUGAUCGGUUACAUUUGGUAACAAGUGUAUCCAUCGAAGGUUGUUUUACCCCAGUACUUUACACAGCUUUUGAAAGAAGUUAGAAUACAACAUGCUUUCUUCGGAUGUGUUAGAGUGCUGCUUUUCUUGGGCAUGAAUGCUCGCAUUCAUUCCAGGAGAAAUCAACUAUCCACUUGGAUCUGAAAUGAGGCGAGAUUACCCGCUGGAUUUAAGCAUAUAAUUAAGCGGAGGAAAAGAAACUAACCAGGAUUGCCUUAGUAACUGCGAGUGAAGCGGCAACAGCUCAAGCCUAGAAUCCUUUUCGAUUUUCGAGACGGAAUUGUGGUCUAGAGAGUCCAUGGCCAGCGUGUGGCCCCGGCCUAAAUCUGCUGGAAAGCAGUGGCAGAGAGGGUGACACCCCCGUCCGCAGCCGGGAGUCCGCCGCGUACGGCCGGGAUUCCAAGAGUCGGGUUGCUUGGGAGUGCAGCCUGAAGCGGGUGGUAAAUUCCAUCCAAAGCUAAAUACCUGCGGGAGACCGAUAGCGCACAAGUACCGUGAGGGAAAGGUGAAAAGGACUUUGAAAAGAGAGUCAAAAGUACUUGAAAUUGCUAAAAGCAAGCGAUAGAGACUAGUGCCUCGGUUAUGGAGGGUCUCUGUUGGGUAGCGGUGGAGAGGGUAGUGGGCUCGCAUGUUCACGUCUCUCGAAACUGUCUCCCAGCUCCGAGUCCUCCAUGCGGGUCACCUGGAAUUGGGUCCGUGAGUGAAGGGGUGAGCGGAGGUAGGUGCGAGAGCGACUACGCAAUCCCCGAAUACGUUCGCCUUCUAUCAUGGACCUGAUUCACUCUGGUGACGAAAUAGUCUCUAUCGGCCCGUCUUGAAACACGGACCAAGGAGUCUAGCGUAUAUGCGAGUGUUUGGGUGGAUAAACCCGAGCGCGGAAUGAAAGUGAAGGUGUGCUUCGGCGCACUGAGAUGCCAACCCGCAAGGGCGCAGCAUCGCCCGGCCUGUCCAUUAGUGUUAGGUCCGAGGCCGAGCGUAUCCGUUAGGACCCGAAAGAUGGUGAACUAUACCUGAGCAGGGUGAAGCCAGGGGAAACUCUGGUGGAAGCUCGUAGCGAUACUGACGUGCAAAUCGUUCGUCGGACUUGGGUAUAGGGGCGAAAGACUAAUCGAACCAUCUAGUAGCUGGUUCCCUC
This 1597-nucleotide unclassified non-coding RNA is filed under the name uncultured fungus. RNAcentral's name for it is "sequence contains 18S rRNA gene, ITS1, 5.8S rRNA gene, ITS2, 28S rRNA gene". The stretch from base 599 to 1597 matches the Rfam family "Eukaryotic large subunit ribosomal RNA", at positions 1 to 961 of the family's 3401-position model. The record is from RNAcentral. Lineage: Eukaryota; Fungi.